RNAcentral lists this long non-coding RNA (955 nucleotides) under Marmota monax (woodchuck). The record is from RNAcentral. Lineage: Eukaryota; Metazoa; Chordata; Mammalia; Rodentia; Sciuridae.
GUUUUAUUUAAAAGUCUAUAAUUUGACUUAUGAUUUUAAAAUAUAUUAAGACAAUGUUUAAAAAUAUUAAGACAAUAUUAGGGUGCAUGGGUUCCACUUGGAUUCCUGUUCCAGGCUUGCAAAUAUUAGGAGCUCACCUUCCCCACACUUCUCUCUCCAUCAAUUGCCAUUGUAGUCAUCUUUUAAGCCACAGGUCAAAUCUUACUUCUACCGUAAAGCCCUCCCUGACCACCUCAGUGGUAACUUAUUUCUCUCUGUGCUUCCUUCAUUCACAGAUAAUCUACUAGUGCCAAGCACUGUGUUGGGAACUAAAAAUACAGAUAUGAAUGAACAUACCCUACUGACCAAUGAGCUGUCACCCUAGGAACAAGAGCCACAGAAUGAAGCCCCCACAGCCUAUCAGUACCGCCAGUUAGACACAUCCAAACUCUACCCCCAACAUGUCCUCUGAUAAAACCCCAUUCAAGACACCAUGAUGUCCACCCAAGAAUGCGCCUCUAUUGUGGCACUUAGGGCUCAUUCCCCACCAGCUGCCUUAAGAACCCUCUGCUCUGCUUAAAACCCUCUGAUGGCUCUCAACGACCACUAAGAUAAAACUCAGCCUCCAUUGACCUCGCCCCCAUUGACCACUCCAGCCCAUCUCCUGGUUCUCUCCCUGUCAUCCUCUCUACUUCAGGGACUUUGGGAGCCUACCCUGGCUUCUGUCCACUCUCAUACCUUUCAUUCCCGUCUCGCAUGCCCUUAACCUUUCAUUCCCAUUGCCAAGAAAUGUCUUACCCUAGGUUUCCAUGUGGCCUCUUCUCUCUCCUUACUCAUUUCUCAGUUCUAGAAAGAAAGUUUCUUAAUUAAAGCACCUCCAAGUCCCUACUAUGUCAUUACCCUAUUUUAUUCUCUCCAUGUGUUUACAUUUUGCUGUCUGUUUUCCCCUCUUGAGUUGGAUCCCACCAGAACAAAG